This 440-nucleotide ribosomal RNA is filed under the name uncultured bacterium. RNAcentral's name for it is "partial 16S ribosomal RNA". It matches the Rfam family "Bacterial small subunit ribosomal RNA", at positions 338 to 795 of the family's 1533-position model. The record is from RNAcentral.
CCUACGGGAGGCAGCAGUAAGGGAUAUUGGUCAAUGGGGGAAACCCUGAACCAGCAACGCCGCGUGAGGGAAGACGGUUUUCGGAUUGUAAACCUCUGUCCUCUGUGAAGAUGAUGACGGUAGCAGAGGAGGAAGCUCCGGCUAACUACGUGCCAGCAGCCGCGGUAAUACGUAGGGAGCGAGCGUUGUCCGGAUUUACUGGGUGUAAAGGGUGCGUAGGCGGCUUGGCAAGUCAGUAGUGAAAUCCAUGGGCUUAACCCAUGAACUGCUAUUGAAACUGUCGGGCUUGAGUGAAGUAGAGGUAGGCGGAAUUCCCGGUGUAGCGGUGAAAUGCGUAGAGAUCGGGAGGAACACCAGUGGCGAAGGCGGCCUGCUGGGCUUUAACUGACGCUGAGGCACGAAAGCGUGGGUAGCAAACAGGAUUAGAUACCCUGGUAGUC